RNAcentral lists this unclassified non-coding RNA (382 nucleotides) under Hevea brasiliensis (rubber tree). Lineage: Eukaryota; Viridiplantae; Streptophyta; Magnoliopsida; Malpighiales; Euphorbiaceae. The record is from RNAcentral.
UUUGAUUUUCCACCUCUCCUAUAAUGUUUGUUAGUGAAGCUGCUGGAGGUGGUGAAUAUAUUGUAGAAGUGGCCAUGCAUGGAAAGCUUAUCGACUCCUUCCCAUCCUCAGCAAGGUCCUAAAUCAAGAGAAGACAAUAUUAUGUGAUGCAUUUUUGCAUAUCAUUGCUGCUAGUUGUACCAGUUGGUCAUCAAAAUGCCUGAUCACACAGACUGAAUAAUUCCCAUAAAAUAUGAAGAAACUACUGUGCAGAACAUUUAACAAACAGGGAAGGAAAUAAUUUUCAGAAAAGUGUAAUCUUAGGAAUGGACUAACCUCAGAAUCCAGGGAGUUGAAAAUUGCCUCUGGGAUAGGGUCCGGGUUGAAUUCAUCUGGGACAAAA